CACGUAGGGGGCUAGCGUUGCUCGGAAUUACUGGGCGUAAAGCGCACGUAGGCGGCUUUCUAAGUCGGGGGUGAAAUCCUGGAGCUCAACUCCAGAACUGCCUUCGAUACUGGAAAGCUCGAGUCCGGGAGAGGUGAGUGGAACUGCGAGUGUAGAGGUGAAAUUCGUAGAUAUUCGCAAGAACACCAGUGGCGAAGGCGGCUCACUGGCCCGGUACUGACGCUGAGGUGCGAAAGCGUGGGGAGCAAACAGG
RNAcentral lists this ribosomal RNA (253 nucleotides) under uncultured bacterium. RNAcentral describes it as "partial 16S ribosomal RNA". It matches the Rfam family "Bacterial small subunit ribosomal RNA", at positions 524 to 776 of the family's 1533-position model. The record is from RNAcentral.